This 254-nucleotide ribosomal RNA is filed under the name uncultured prokaryote. RNAcentral's name for it is "partial 16S ribosomal RNA". It matches the Rfam family "Bacterial small subunit ribosomal RNA", at positions 524 to 776 of the family's 1533-position model. The record is from RNAcentral.
GACGUAGGGGGCGAGCGUUAUCCGGAUUCACUGGGCGUAAAGGGCGCGCAGGCGGCUACGUAAGUCCGGCGUGAAAUCCCACGGCUCAACUGUGGAAUUGCGUCGGAUACUGCGUUGGCUUGAGGGCGGUAGAGGCUUCUGGAACUAGCGGUGUAGCGGUGAAAUGCGCAGAUAUCGCUAGGAACGCCGGUGGCGAAGGCGGGAGGCUGGGCCGAUCCUGACGCUGAGGCGCGAAAGCUAGGGGAGCGAACCGG